RNAcentral lists this ribosomal RNA (253 nucleotides) under uncultured bacterium. RNAcentral's name for it is "partial 16S ribosomal RNA". It matches the Rfam family "Bacterial small subunit ribosomal RNA", at positions 524 to 776 of the family's 1533-position model. The record is from RNAcentral.
UACAGAGGGUGCAAGCGUUGUUCGGAAUUAUUGGGCGUAAAGGGCGCGUAGGCGGUGCUGUAAGUCUGUAGUGAAAUCUCUGGGCUCAACUCAGAGUCUGCUAUAGAAACUGCAGUGCUAGAGUGUGGGAGAGGUGAGUGGAAUUCCCGGUGUAGCGGUGAAAUUCGUAGAUAUUGGGAAGAACACCGGUGGCGAAGGCGGCUCACUGGCUCAUUACUGACGCUCAGGCGCGACAGCGUGGGGAUCAAACAGG